UGCCAAGAGCACGGCUGGUUGGCUACGUUGGGAAGUGAUAACCGCUGAAAGCAUCUAAGCGGGAAGCACGCUUCAAGAUGAGGGUUCCCACAGCAUAAGCUGGUAAGGUCCCCGGAAGAUUACCGGGUUGAUAGGUCGGAUGUGGAAGUGCAGUAAUGCAUGGAGCUGACCGAUACUAAUAGACCGAGGGCUUGUUUCU
RNAcentral lists this ribosomal RNA (199 nucleotides) under Propionibacteriaceae bacterium. Its description in RNAcentral is "partial 23S ribosomal RNA". It matches the Rfam family "Bacterial large subunit ribosomal RNA", at positions 2727 to 2925 of the family's 2925-position model. Lineage: Bacteria; Bacillati; Actinomycetota; Actinomycetes; Propionibacteriales; Propionibacteriaceae. The record is from RNAcentral.